Molecule: long non-coding RNA, 847 nt
Organism: Humulus lupulus (European hop)
Lineage: Eukaryota; Viridiplantae; Streptophyta; Magnoliopsida; Rosales; Cannabaceae
Exons: 3
Source: RefSeq, a predicted model, not a curated record
AAUUCCUAUUUUAGUUGGGUCAAUUCUAGUUAAAAAUGGAAGAGAUGUUGUCAUCUUUAUUCCAUACCAAUUAAAAUAAAAUCAAUUAAAUAAGAAUUAAGAUAAAAUAAUUAGGAAUAGGAAACUUACCCAUUUAUUUUUAUUAGGCUAUUAUGAGUAGAUUAGAAUAAAGAGGGAAGGAAAAAGGGAAGAGAGCCAUUGUGCUUGGUGGCUGCCGAAACUAGAGAGAAGGAGAGAGAGAGAGACAGAGAGAGGUGUGUUCUAGAGAUAGAAGGAGAGAAAGGAAGAAAAGAAAGGAGGAAGAAGAAGAAGGUCUUGGGAGGUCUUAGGGUAUUCAAGAGUGAUUGCCAUUUGGGUGUUGAUCAAUUUGUGUUCUUUAUUUUACAAUCAAGAGAGUUUUCUUGCAUAUAGGCGGCGAAGAUGAGCACGCGACGACAAUGUGGUGGACAGUGGCUUUCUUUAUUUUUCUUGGAGGUUGGGGGCGAGGUCUUUGGUGUUCUUGGAGAUGAUGGUGGUGGCGAAAUCAUGGUGUUCUUGGAGUUGAUGGCAGUAGUGGGAUCUUGGUGUUCUCGGAGGUGACGAUGGUGGCGAGGUCUAGGUCUUCUUGGAGUUGAUGGCAGUGACGAGAGCUUGGUCUUCUUAGAGUUGAUGGCGACAACGACUUUCUUCCUAUGCACGGGGUGGAUUUUACUUAUACUUAUAUAUAUAUGUAUAUAUAUUGUAAAUUUCAGUCUGGGAUGAGUCUAUAAUGUGGAUGUGGUCAUUAAUUGGCUAAUAAGUUCCCAAUCUCUGCAUUUUGUUCUAUGUGAUUCAUAUUGUAGAGUUUGCUAAUGUAUCAAACAAUAAA